AUGCAGUCAGCGGGGGGUGGAGGUGCCUUGGAGGAGGCUCAGCAGCCGGAACAUGAAGGAAGGGGUGAGACACUGAACCUGCACGGAGGAGGGAGCUGGGCAAGUUUGCCACUGAGAAGGUCACGGCAUUGCGGGAGUAACCUGCAGUCCUUGUGCUUGAAUGUCAAGACUCAUGCAUCUGGGAAUGGGGACUGUCCUUCUCCCCUGUGGAAGCCGGAUGCCACUCAGUGGGAUCUCAGGACACACUCACUGAUGGACUGUGGGAUUUGUAUUUUUCAUGCUGUUUCAUUCCGUUUCUUCCAUUACCUAGUGGAGUCUUCCUGUUUUACAAAGAAGCUGAGGUUCAAGGUGAGUAAAUAGCUUGUCCAAGGUCAUUAAGCAAAUAGGAGGGCAGGCACUAAAAGUCCUGUCCUUGUGAGUCCAAAGUUUAUACUUUGUCUAUCACGGUUAUUUGCUGACUCAUAAUUUCAUUGUUUAUAAAAUGAAAAUUAAAACAAAUACCCUACUUAUCACAUCAGGUGGUUUCGAAGCCCUAACAGGAGGCAGUCUGUGUUGUGGUGAGGGCAGAAAACGCCGUAGGGCCGUGGGUUCUGGCGCUGGGCAAAGUCAGGUCAGAGCAGUUGAGUGUAGAAGUAGCCAGAACACAGCCACGCUGCUGUUUGCGGCUCUGUAGUUCACAUCUGCAUCUUGAGUAGCUGAGUGGCUACAUUGGCCAUGUUGAAAGGCAGGGCCACCAAGGGGGAGACCAGGUGGGAAGUGAGCCCAGAACGAGAACGAGGGAAGAGACAAAGGUGAAGUGCUGAAAGCUGGCUGAAGAUUGGGACGACCCCUAAUGAGGGUGGCUGCAAGUAACACAAGACAUCUCUGUAUUAAAUGAUAAAUGCAUUGUCUGUAGCUGUGCUAAAAUAAAUUGUGUAGUCAAUUUAACCAAGGGAAGUAGGUGGACCUAUGUCUGCCAAUGACUGGCUGCACCAACUUGGGGCAAGCGUUUUCAAUCUCUUGGGACCUCAGUUUCCAGAAUGGGUUUCUUGUGAGGACUAAAUAGAAUAAUACGUGUGAAGCACCCAGCAUUGUGUGUGAGGUACAGUAAAUCGUCAACAGUAAUGCUUAAUGCUGCGGUCCCCAAGGAUAUGUCCCUGCUGUCGGUCCAUGGGCUGUUGGGGGCCAGGUUGCGCUCCUUGUGAGAGUCUGGUGCCUGAUGAUUGGGGGUGGUGGUGCUGGU
This 1222-nucleotide long non-coding RNA is filed under the name Microcebus murinus (gray mouse lemur). RNAcentral's name for it is "lncRNA (ENSMICG00000048506.1)". Lineage: Eukaryota; Metazoa; Chordata; Mammalia; Primates; Cheirogaleidae. The record is from RNAcentral.